This 1365-nucleotide long non-coding RNA is filed under the name Amborella trichopoda. RNAcentral describes it as "long non-coding RNA (ATRI_LNC004285)". The record is from RNAcentral. Lineage: Eukaryota; Viridiplantae; Streptophyta; Magnoliopsida; Amborellales; Amborellaceae.
AGAGAGAGAGAGAGAGAGAGAGAGGGGCAGGGCGUCCUGUGCAUGAGAUGCAAGGUCUCCCUUAGAGAGAAGAAAACUUCAUAUGGAGAGAAAUAUUGCGAUGGUGCCUCUUGUAGAUUCCUGAAGAUUGAGAUGUUAAUUUCUUGUAGAGAAGCGGUUCCCAAAGAGAUUUUGGGUGGUUUCUCUGUUCAGUUAGAGAGUUUGUCGUUGCUCUCGUGUCUAUAUCUGGUGUUAUUAGUAAAGGUUGACAAAAGUAAGGGGAAAGAAAAACGUUAUGUGGUGUCGGUCGGGAGAGUGGUUUGAAAGGGUUUGCUCGACUGGGUCUUGUCUAAAGUUUGAGAGGUAAUUCUUUAUCUCAAAAUCUUUGAUAUAAUUUUCAUUGGUAUAGUGGAUUUCAGUUUGUCGUGCCCGUGGAUGUAGUCCUUCUGGGGUGAACAACAUAAAUUUUUGAAUUCUUGUGGUAUGUGUUUCAUGUUUUAUUUCUCGUAUUUUAUUUGCCAAAAAUCAAGCCGUUGGGUUUAGAGCUUCUACGCACAACAAGUGGUAUCAGAAGCUGGUUUGGGGUUAUCGGUAUGGCGGAACGGUUUCGAAUGCAAGGUUCGAGGUGGAGAAUUUGAAUGUAAACACUAUGUUUAGCAAGAAUGAGCAAGAAUUUUUUUUGACAAAAGAUGAGGAAUUUAUAAAGCUAUCCAAUGGAUGUUGGCGGGGUGAGCAAGUGAUUUUGAUAUCAAGGUGUUGGAUAUAAUGUUAUCCAAAAUUACCUACAUAAAGAAAUCUCAUAUUAUGUGGGAUUGAGAUUGAUAUUGAUAAUUUUCUUAAAGGAAACAGAAAUCCAAAAAUGAUUAGAACUCUUUGAUAUAUAUCUCUUGGUUGAUUUUUGGCAAAUAUAGUACAAUAAAUAAAGCAUGAAACACAUACCACAAGAAUACAAAGAUUUACGCGGUUCACCUCAGAAGGGCUACAUCCAUGGGUACAACAAACUGAAAUGCACUAUACCAAUGAAAGUUACAUCAAAGAUUUUGGUACAUAGAGUUACCUAUCUAACCUUCGAUAAAACCGAGUCGAACAAACCCUUUUAAAGCACUCUCCUGACCAACACCACAUGUUGUUCUUCCCUCUCUUUACUUCUAACAACCAUUACCGACAACACCAGAUAAAGAUGCGAGAAAUUGACGUUCUCUCUAACUAAAAGGGAAAACCACUCAAAAUCUCUAUGGGAGCCGCUUUUCUACAAGAAACCAACCUCUCAAUCUAUAUGCGGCACAUCGCAAUGUUUCUCUCCAUAAGAAGCUCUCUUCUCUUUAAGGAAAGGCCUUGCAUCUCAUGCACAAGAGGCUCCUGCCUCUCUCUCUCUCUCUGUAGAGG